This 1275-nucleotide ribosomal RNA is filed under the name Triticum aestivum (bread wheat). RNAcentral's name for it is "partial small subunit ribosomal RNA". Lineage: Eukaryota; Viridiplantae; Streptophyta; Magnoliopsida; Poales; Poaceae. The record is from RNAcentral.
AUGUUGGAUGGCUUUCGGGAGGCAUUGGAGGUUUGUGCUUUGGAGGACUUGGGUUUUGAGGGUGACAUAUUCACAUGGAGGAACCAUAGCAAGGAGCUGAGCAAAUAUAUAUGUGAAAGGUUGGAUCGGGCGACUGCUAAUAGAAGCUGGCGAGAAAAGUUCCCGGAGUACGUGGUCAUCAACGGGAUGCCGAGGCACUCUGAUCACCAGCCCAUCAUUGUUGAUACAAAGGGAAGUGACAAAAGUUGGAAGGGAUGGGACCGAGGUUUCCAGUUCGAAGCCCGAUGGCUACAGGAAGAGGGGUGCGAAGAGGUGAUUAGGCAGGCGUGGGAGAGAAGUUGGGCUAAUAGGGACGGCGGGGUAGCACAUGCGCUGAAGGAGAUAGCGGGUAAGAUGAGGAAGUGGGACAAGGAGGUGGUUGGAGAACUAGAAGGAAGACUGAAGAAGGCCAAAGCUGACUUGGAGAGAUGCAUGAAGGAGCCGGUAUCCCAUGAAAAGAUUGCGGAGGAAGCCAACCUUAGAUGUUUGGUACAUGAUCUUGAGGAGAAGAAGAAUACGAUGUGGAAGCAAAGAGCCCAUGUGUGGUGGCUCUUGGAGGGGGAUAGGAAUACUCGCUUUUUCCACAUGAUGGCAUCCGUGAGGAAGAAUGCGAAUAAGAUCAAGGAGCUCAGGAGGGAGGAUGGGAUCUUUUCACGUCCACUACGGGCAACCGUGUCAAUGAGCGUAUCGACAAGUACCCUGUACACGCCGCUUAGAUUCCUCCUGAGUCUGUCGAACACGCGUCGUCUCCGCUUCUUCCCCAAAUCGCCGGCUGCAGCUUCCCGUCUCUCUUUGUUCCUCGAGGAACUCGACCUAGUCCGACCUCCCCAUGCCAUCAAUGGCUCGGGUGACCGCCUCCACGGCAACGACGCCGUACGGUCGCGCGGCUGCUGCUUCCUGUUCCUCUGUCCUCACAACGUCAACGGCCCCGGCUCCGGCGACCGGCGCCACGACGGCGAUGUCGUAUGGUUCCGCGGCGUGCAGUCCGGACGUGGGGCGUCCCAGCUGUUCUUCGCGGCGGAGGCCUACAGGCGGGGAAGAAGGGCACGCUGUCGCGGUGGAGGACUCGCGACUGGUACCAGGGCAUCCAGGGAGUCCGGAGCGUGCUCGACGCCGUCUGCAGUACUUCUAGGGGAUGAGUAUGAGCUGCCCUCUUCGUGUCAUGUUGCAUCUGGGACUAUGGCGACACACUCUUCAUUCAGAUCAUGUGAGGUGAGCUUCUCUGUAGCUCAGUAA